Molecule: non-coding RNA, 104 nt
Filed under: bovine gut metagenome
Description: FMN riboswitch (RFN element)
Rfam family: FMN riboswitch aptamer (RFN element)
About the family: The RFN element is a highly conserved domain that is found frequently in the 5'-untranslated regions of prokaryotic mRNAs that encode for flavin mononucleotide (FMN) biosynthesis and transport proteins. This element is a metabolite-dependent riboswitch that directly binds FMN in the absence of proteins.
Source: RNAcentral
CUUCGAGGCAGGGUUAAUUUCCCUACCGGCGGUAUAGUCCGCAAACCAUUUUGGUUGAUUCGGUGAGAUUCCGAAACCGACGGUAAAGUCCGGAUGGAAGAAGU